Molecule: ribosomal RNA, 392 nt
Filed under: uncultured organism
Description: bacterial SSU rRNA
Rfam family: Bacterial small subunit ribosomal RNA
Source: RNAcentral
UGCUUAACACAUGCAAGUCGAACGGCAGCACUAUCUAGCUUGCUAGGUUGGUGGCGAGUGGCGAACGGGUGAGUAACGCGUAGGAAUAUACCUUAGAGACUGGGACAACUUGGGGAAACUCAAGCUAAUACCGGAUUAUGUCUUAGGACGAAAGCUGGGGACCUUAUGGCCUGGCGCUUUGAGAUUAGCCUGCGUCCGAUUAGCUAGUUGGUGGGGUAAGGGCCUACCAAGGCGACGAUCGGUAGCUGGUCUGAGAGGAUGGUCAGCCACACUGGAACUGAGAGACGGUCCAGACUCCUACGGGAGGCAGCAGUGGGGAAUAUUGGACAAUGGGGGGAACCCUGAUCCAGCUUUGCCGCGUGUGUGAAGAAGGCCUGAGGGUUGUAAAGCUC